RNAcentral lists this ribosomal RNA (776 nucleotides) under Lodderomyces parapsilosis. Its description in RNAcentral is "Candida parapsilosis partial large subunit ribosomal RNA". It matches the Rfam family "Eukaryotic large subunit ribosomal RNA", at positions 137 to 931 of the family's 3401-position model. Lineage: Eukaryota; Fungi; Ascomycota; Pichiomycetes; Serinales; Debaryomycetaceae. The record is from RNAcentral.
UCCGAGUUGUAAUUUGAAGAAGGUAUCUUUGGGUCUGGCUCUGUCUAUGUUUCUUGGAACAGAACGUCACAGAGGGUGAGAAUCCCGUGCGAUGAGAUGUCCCAGACCUAUGUAAAGUUCCUUCGAAGAGUCGAGUUGUUUGGGAAUGCAGCUCUAAGUGGGUGGUAAAUUCCAUCUAAAGCUAAAUAUUGGCGAGAGACCGAUAGCGAACAAGUACAGUGAUGGAAAGAUGAAAAGAACUUUGAAAAGAGAGUGAAAAAGUACGUGAAAUUGUUGAAAGGGAAGGGCUUGAGAUCAGACUUGGUAUUUUGUAUGUUACUCUCUCGGGGGUGGCCUCUACAGUUUACCGGGCCAGCAUCAGUUUGAGCGGUAGGAUAAGUGCAAAGAAAUGUGGCACUGCUUCGGUAGUGUGUUAUAGUCUUUGUCGAUACUGCCAGCUUAGACUGAGGACUGCGGCUUCGGCCUAGGAUGUUGGCAUAAUGAUCUUAAGUCGCCCGUCUUGAAACACGGACCAAGGAGUCUAACGUCUAUGCGAGUGUUUGGGUGUAAAACCCGUACGCGUAAUGAAAGUGAACGUAGGUAGGACCUCCUUUAGGAGUGCACUAUCGACCGAUCCUGAUGUCUUCGGAUGGAUUUGAGUAAGAGCAUAGCUGUUGGGACCCGAAAGAUGGUGAACUAUGCCUGAAUAGGGUGAAGCCAGAGGAAACUCUGGUGGAGGCUCGUAGCGGUUCUGACGUGCAAAUCGAUCGUCGAAUUUGGGUAUAGGGGCGAAAGAC